GACGAACGCUGGCGGCGUGCUUAACACAUGCAAGUCGAACGGAAAGGCCCUGCUUUUGUGGGGUGCUCGAGUGGCGAACGGGUGAGUAACACGUGAGUAACCUGCCCUUUACUUUGGGAUAACUUCAGGAAACUGGGUCUAAUACCGGAUAGGAUCUCCUGCUGCAUGGUGGGGGUUGGAACGUUUCGGCGGUUGGGGAUGGACUCUCGGCUUAUCAGCUUGUUGGUGGGGUAGUGGCUUACCAAGGCUUUGACGGGUAGCCGGCCUGAGAGGGUGACCGGCCACAUUGGGACUGAGAUACGGCACAGACUCCUACGGGAGGCAGCAGUGGGGAAUAUUGCACAAUGGGCGGAAGCCUGAUGCAGGCACGCAGCGUGCGGGAUGACGGCCGUCGGGUUGUAACCCGCUUUCGACUGUGACGAAGCGUGAGUGACGGUAAUGGGUAAAGAAGCACCGGCUAACUACGUG
RNAcentral lists this ribosomal RNA (468 nucleotides) under uncultured bacterium. RNAcentral describes it as "partial 16S ribosomal RNA". It matches the Rfam family "Bacterial small subunit ribosomal RNA", at positions 28 to 507 of the family's 1533-position model. The record is from RNAcentral.